UUUUUUUUUUUUUUUUUUUUGGUGUUUCUAGAGGCAGUCAGUCGAUUUGGUACUUCGGAAAUGCUGUUGGAAACAGGUUUUAUGAUUUUUUUCUGAAAAAGUGAAAAAGUCACUUUUUCGAAAUUUGUCGCAUAUCGCCGGUCAUGAAAUUUUUCAAAAAAUUCAAAAUUCAAAAUUUUUUUUUUUUUUUUGGUGUUUCUAGAGGCAGUCAGUCGAUUUGGUACUUCGGAAAUGCUGUUGGAAACAGGUUUUAUGAUUUUUUUCUGAAAAAGUGAAAAAGUCACUUUUUCGAAAUUUGUCGCAUAUCGCCGGUCAAGAAAUUUUUCAAAAAAUUCAAAAUUCAAAAUUUUUUUUUUUUGUGUGUUUCUAGAGGCAGUCAGUCGAUUUCGUACUUCGGAAAUGUUCUUGGAAACAGGUUUUAUGAUUUUUUCUGAAAAAGUGAAAAAGUCACUUUUUCGAAAUUUUUCGCAUAUCGCCGGUCAAGAAAUUUUUCAAAAAAUUCAAAAUUCAAAUUUUUUUUUUUUGUUGUUUGUUUCUAGAGGCAGUCAGUCGAUUUGGUACUUCGGAAAUGCUAUUGGAAACAGGUUUUAUGAUUUUUUCUGAAAAAGUGAAAAAGUCACUUUUUCGAAAUUUGUCACAUGAAAUUUUUCAAAAAUUUCAAAAAUCAAUUUUUUUUUAUUUUUUAUUUUUUUUUGGUGUUUCUAGAGGCAGUCAGUCGAUUUGGUACUUCGGAAAUGCUGUUGGAAACAGGUUUUAUGAUUUUUUCUGAAAAAGUGAAAAAGUCACUUUUUCGAAAUUUUUCGCAUAUCGCCGGUCAUGAAAUUUUUCAAAAAAUUCAAAAUUCAAAAAAUAUUUUUUUUUUGUUUUUUUGUGUUUCUAGAGGCAGUCAGUCGAUUUGGUACUUCGGAAAUGCUGUUGGAAACAGGUUUUGUGAUUUUUUCUGAAAAAGUGAAAAAGUCACUUUUUCGAAAUUUUUCGAAAAUCGCCGGUCAAGAAAUUUUUCAAAAAAUUCAAAAUUCAAAA
Long non-coding RNA from Engraulis encrasicolus (European anchovy), 1023 nucleotides. RefSeq lists it as uncharacterized. The record is from RefSeq and is a predicted model, not a curated record. The transcript has 3 exons. Lineage: Eukaryota; Metazoa; Chordata; Actinopteri; Clupeiformes; Engraulidae.